GACGAACGCUGGCGGCGUGCCUAAUACAUGCAAGUCGAACGAGAGCGACCGGUGCUUGCACUGGUCAAUCUAGUGGCGAACGGGUGAGUAACACGUGGGUAACCUGCCCAUCAGAGGGGGAUAACAUCCGGAAACGGAUGCUAAAACCGCAUAGGUCUUCGAGCCGCAUGGCUUGAAGAGGAAAAGAGGCGCAAGCUUCUGCUGAUGGAUGGACCCGCGGUGCAUUAGCUAGUUGGUGAGGUAACGGCUCACCAAGGCCGUGAUGCAUAGCCGACCUGAGAGGGUGAUCGGCCACAUUGGGACUGAGACACGGCCCAAACUCCUAUGGGAGGCAGCAGUAGGGAAUCUUCCGCAAUGGACGCAAGUCUGACGGAGCAACGCCGCGUGAGUGAAGAAGGUUUUCGGAUCGUAAAACUCUGUUGUUAGGGAAGAACAAGUGCUAGAGUAACUGUUAGCGCCUUGACGGUAUCUAACCAGAAAGCCACGGCUAACUACGUG
RNAcentral lists this ribosomal RNA (498 nucleotides) under uncultured bacterium. Its description in RNAcentral is "partial 16S ribosomal RNA". It matches the Rfam family "Bacterial small subunit ribosomal RNA", at positions 28 to 507 of the family's 1533-position model. The record is from RNAcentral.